AGGCGNNGCUACCAUGCAAGUCGUACGAGAACUCUUUAGCUUGCUAAAGAUAGUAAAGUGGCGUACGGGUGAGUAUCGCGUGGGUAAUCUACCUCCGAAUUGGGGAUAACAUUGCGAAAGCGAUGCUAAUACCGAAUAAUAUCUUUUGAGCUUCGGCUUUUAAGAUCAAAGGUGGUCUCUACAUGUAAGCUACUGUUUGGAGAUGAGCCCGCGUACCAUUAGCUUGUUGGUAGGGUAAUGGCCUACCAAGGCCGCGAUGGUUAGCUGGUCUGAGAGGAUGAUCAGCCACACUGGAACUGACACACGGUCCAGACUCCUACGGGAGGCAGCAGUGAGGAAUUUUGCGCAAUGGGGGAAACCCUGACGCAGCAACGCCGCGUGAGUGAUGAAGGCUUUCGAGUCGUAAAGCUCUGUCAAGUGGGAAGAACCGGAAAGACGUUAAUAUCGUCUUUCCCUGACGGUACCACUGAAGGAAGCACCGGCUAACUCCGUGCCAGCAGCCGCGGUAAUACGGGGGGUGCAAGCGUUAUUCGGAAUCAUUGGGCGUAAAGGGCGCGUAGGCGGCUCCUUAAGUCAGAUGUGAAAGCCCGAGGCUUAACCUCGGAAGUGCAUUUGAAACUAAGGGACUUGAGUAUGGGAGAGGGAAGUGGAAUUCCUGGUGUAGAGGUGAAAUUCGUAGAUAUCAGGAGGAACACCGGUGGCGAAGGCGACUUCCUGGACCAAUACUGACGCUGAGGCGCGAAGGCGUGGGGAGCAAACAGGAUUAGAUACCCUGGUAGUCCACGCAGUAAACGGUGAACACUAGGUGUAGCGGGUAUUGACCCCUGCUGUGCCGCANUUAACGCAUUAA
RNAcentral lists this ribosomal RNA (850 nucleotides) under uncultured bacterium. RNAcentral describes it as "bacterial SSU rRNA". It matches the Rfam family "Bacterial small subunit ribosomal RNA", at positions 40 to 863 of the family's 1533-position model. The record is from RNAcentral.